RNAcentral lists this ribosomal RNA (202 nucleotides) under uncultured prokaryote. RNAcentral describes it as "partial 16S ribosomal RNA". It matches the Rfam family "Bacterial small subunit ribosomal RNA", at positions 524 to 725 of the family's 1533-position model. The record is from RNAcentral.
UACGGGGGGGGCAAGCGUUGUUCGGAAUUACUGGGCGUAAAGGGCGCGUAGGCGGAUUUGUAAGUCAGAUGUGAAAUUCCGGGGCUCAACCUCGGAGCUGCAUUUGAAACUGUGAAUCUAGAGGGUUGGCGGAGAAAACGGAAUUCCACGUGUAGCGGUGAAAUGCGUAGAUAUGUGGAAGAACACCUGUGGCGAAAGCGGU